This 430-nucleotide ribosomal RNA is filed under the name Staphylococcus aureus. RNAcentral describes it as "bacterial SSU rRNA". It matches the Rfam family "Bacterial small subunit ribosomal RNA", at positions 28 to 446 of the family's 1533-position model. Lineage: Bacteria; Bacillati; Bacillota; Bacilli; Caryophanales; Staphylococcaceae. The record is from RNAcentral.
GAUGAACGCUGGCGGCGUGCCUAAUACAUGCAAGUCGAGCGAACGGACGAGAAGCUUGCUUCUCUGAUGUUAGCGGCGGACGGGUGAGUAACACGUGGAUAACCUACCUAUAAGACUGGGAUAACUUCGGGAAACCGGAGCUAAUACCGGAUAAUAUUUUGAACCGCAUGGUUCAAAAGUGAAAGACGGUCUUGCUGUCACUUAUAGAUGGAUCCGCGCUGCAUUAGCUAGUUGGUAAGGUAACGGCUUACCAAGGCAACGAUGCAUAGCCGACCUGAGAGGGUGAUCGGCCACACUGGAACUGAGACACGGUCCAGACUCCUACGGGAGGCAGCAGUAGGGAAUCUUCCGCAAUGGGCGAAAGCCUGACGGAGCAACGCCGCGUGAGUGAUGAGGGUCUUCGGAUCGUAAAAACUCUGUUAUUAGGGAA